AUUAAACCCAGAGGUGCUUAACCACUGAGCCACAUCCCUAGUCCUUUUUAUUUUCUAUUUUUUUAAAAAUAUAUAUAUUAGUUGUAAAGGGGCACAACAGCUUUAUUUUGUUUAUUUAGGUUUUUUGUUUUUUUUUUAAAUGUGAUGCUGGGGAUGGAACCCAGUGCCUCACACAUGCUAUGCAAGUGCUGUACCAUUGAGCCACAACCCCAGCCUUUUAUUUUCUACUUUGACACAGGGUGUCACUAAAUUGCUGAGGCUGGCCUUGAACUUGGAAACUUUCUGCUUUAAGCUCCCAAACCACUGGAAUUAUAGGCAUGUGCCAUUGUGCCCAGCUCCAGAUUUUAUUUCUACAGAUACAAAAUAGACCAUCUCCCAUCCAAAGACAACUAUUUUCCAAAAGAAUGUGAAGCAAAACACCCAAUGUGACCUUAAAUAUUAGAGUGUACCACUGGGCUUUAUAGCACACACCUAUAAUCCCAGCAUUUUGGGAGGCUAAGGCAGGAGAGCUGAAGUUUGAGGCAGCCUCUGCAACUUACCAAGUCCCUCUCUCAAAAUAAAAAAAAAUAAAAAUUAAAAGAACUGAGGAUGUAGCCCCGUGGUAAAGCAUUCUUGGAUUCAAUCCCCAGUUCAAGAACAUAAAAAAAUAAAAUAAAAUAAAAUUAGGGCUGGGACUGUAGCUCAGUGGCAGAGCAUAAAAAUAAACAAAAUAAAGGCAUUCUGUCUAUCUACAACUACAGAAAUUUUUUUAAAAAUACAAUGUAUCAUUUAUAGCACCUUAGGUAGGUAGUUCUAACUAACGCACAGAAAUCUGAGGUAUUCCUUAUUUUUGUUUUUGUUUUUGUUUCUUUUCUUGGUGCUGGAGAUUGAACACAGCAUCUUACAUUUAUUAAGCAUGUUGUCUACCACUGAGCUACAUCCCCAGUCCUUCUAUUCCUUGCUUUUAUAUCUGCUGUCUGCUUAUGUAUAUAACUAUACUUUUUUUUGGUGUGUGUGUGUGUGUGUGUGUGGUGCUGGGGAUUGAACCCAGGGCCUUGUUUAUGUGAGGCAAGCACUCUACCAACUGAGCUAUAUCCCCAGCCCAUAUGUAUAUAACUAAAUAAAAAUUUCAUGAAAACUUCAACAUAAAAAAAAAAAGAAAGAAAGAAAACUUCACUGUGAAUCUUCAGCUUUCCACAAUACCCUGCAAAGGAUUCUUUGAUGUCCCUGUCCCUGGUUCCCUGUCCUCACUAGUUUGUGUAUUCAAUAGUAGUAAUAAUGCACAUCCCACUGUUUUUGUUUUUGUUUUGUUUUCCUUUCUUUCUUUCCAGUUUAGAGUUGUCAGAUUUGGCAAAGAGGAAUGCAAGAAACUCUGGGCUGGAAAUGUAGUUCAGAAGUAGAGGGUUGCCAGGCAACCAGGUGAGGCCCUGGGUUCAAUCCACAGCACUGAAAAACUAAACUUUUUUUUUUUAUUCAUCAUUUAUCUAAAAUUCACAUUUAAUUGAGCAUCUUACAUUUUACUUAGCAAUCUUAUUAGUCAUUUCCAUGCAAAGUUGUAGAGUAUAUUUGGGAGCCCCCAGUUUGCCAGAUAUGUCUGCUGUAGCUUCAGCCAGGAUUCCCAUCACAUAUGUGCUAAGUAUCAUGGAACAGAGAAUUCUCAUUAUGGUGGGUUUGACUAAAGGCACAAAGGCACAGGAUUAGCUUUUUUUUUUUUCUUCCCCCUGUUCUGGGGAUCAAACCCAGGGUCUUAUACAUGGUAGGCACUCUACACUGAGCUACAUCCGCAGCCCCAGGAAUACCUUUGAUGCUGAUAUCCUCCUCUGUAGAUCCCCCUCAUCCAUAGGAAGCAAGGAUUUCAGAUCUUCUCUGAACUUUCCAGUCUGACAGUAAGCAGCUAUGGAAAAGAUAUCCUUGAAAUAUCCUCAAGUUAGCUUAGGCUAGAAAGAUAAUUUAGCAAUUUCCCAGAAAUGCCUCUAUUUCCCCAGAAAAAUAUUGCUUUGAAAUGCCAAAUAAGAGUGUUAGAAAGUCACUAGACUGGAAAGCUGACCUGGGGACAAUUUUUAGCACUUAAGAGGCAGUUCUCUGUUUAUGAGACCUACAUUUGUGUUUAAAGAACAUUUAUAAAUUAAAACAGAUAGUAAAGAGAUAGCUAUUUCUAGGAAAACUUUUUUGGUUUUGUUUUGUUUUUUGGUAAUGGUGAUUGAACCCAGCAUGGUUUACCACUGAGCUACAUCCUUAGUCAUUAUUUUUUUUAAUUUUUUAUUUUGAGACAGGGUCUUGUUGAGUCACUGAGGGUCUCACUAUGUUGCUUGAGACUGACUUGAACUUGAAAUCCUCCUCCCCUAGACUUCCAAGAGUAAAAUUUUUUUGUUUGUUUGUUUGUUUUUAAUUUAUUUUUUAGUUGUAAUUGGACACAAUACCUUUAUUUUAUUUUUUUAUUUUUAUGUGCUGCUGAGGAUCGAACCCAAGGCUUCGCACGUGCUAGGUGAGCGCUCUACUGCUGAGCCACAACCCCAGCCCCAAGAGUAAAAGGUUUUUUUUUUUUUAUUUUUUUCUAAAUAUGUUAGUGACUUUUAUAUUGUGUGAAAUUAAGCAAAGGCUGGGAGUUGUGGCUCAGUGAUAGAGCACUUGCCUAGCAUAUGUAAGGCACUGGUUUGGAUUCUCAGCAGCACAUAAAAUAAAUAAGUUAAGUAAAAUAAAGGUAUCAUGUCCAUCUACAAUUAAAAAGUGUAUAAAUAAAUAAAGAAAAUGAUGACUGAGAAAAAAAGUAGCUGAGUAUUUGUUAACAACAUAAUAUUUUAUGGGGCACUUAUGUUUAUAGUACCAAUAAACUACAAUAUACUGUAUUAGUGUAUCUAAGUGACUUGAUUAUUCUUGUGGGAUAAAAGUUCAUAAGAAAACUGCAUUAGAAAUCAAUAGAUAAACAUUUGCAAAGCUGCUAUUGCUAUUGUACCAGUAUUAAAAUAUGCCCUAUGUCACAUCUUUUAGUAAUUUUUAUGACAGAUUUUAUAUUGUAACUAUUUGAGUUUUAUAUAAAUGAUAUGGCUUCAUUAAACUUUGCUUAUCAUAUGCUUCCAAUGUUCAUUUUGACACUGAAUGGUAGAGAAUGUAAACAACCAAGGUGCAUUUAGUUAUAUUUUUAAAUAAAAAUCAAUAAAAACCUUUGGUAUUUUUCUUUUUA
Molecule: long non-coding RNA, 3160 nt
Filed under: Marmota monax (woodchuck)
Lineage: Eukaryota; Metazoa; Chordata; Mammalia; Rodentia; Sciuridae
Source: RNAcentral